This 239-nucleotide long non-coding RNA is filed under the name Elaeis guineensis (African oil palm). RNAcentral describes it as "long non-coding RNA (EGUI_LNC079443)". The record is from RNAcentral. Lineage: Eukaryota; Viridiplantae; Streptophyta; Magnoliopsida; Arecales; Arecaceae.
CCCGUCUCUGUCCUCCUCAGCCGCGUUCUCCAGUGCGUGUAGCAGACCUAUCGGCUCUCGUCCCGUCUCACUUCACUCCAUCUCCGAAGUCCCAACCCUAGGAGGAAAAGGGUGGGAUAGAUUCCCAGGGGCUGUAAAGGCAACGACAGCAGUGACGAAGACCUGUUUCAAGAAGAGCCAGAGUCACUUUGGAGGCAGCGGUGAUGUCAAGGAUAUGCCCCGCCUCUGAAUGCUCCGCG